ACUCAAAGGAAUAGACGGGGGCCCGCACAAGCGGUGGAGCAUGUGGUUUAAUUCGACGCAACGCGAAGAACCUUACCUGGGCUUGAACUACUGGUAGUAAGUCUUUGGAAACAUAGACUGAUCCGCAAGGAAGCCAGCAGAGGUGCUGCAUGGUUGUCGUCAGCUCGUGUCGUGAGAUGUUGGGUUAAGUCCCGCAACGAGCGCAACCCCUAUCUCAUGUUGCUAAUCCCGCAAGGGAUGCACUUUUGAGAAACUGCCUUCGAUAAGAAGGAGGAAGGUGGGGACGACGUCAAAUCCUCAUGGCCCUUAUGUCCAGGGCUACACACGUGCUACAAUGGCCGGUACAACGGGAAGCAAUACCGUAAGGUGGAGCAAAACCCUGAAAGCCGGCCCCAGUUCAGAUCGUGGGCUGCAACUCGCCCACGUGAAGGCGGAAUCGCUAGUAAUCGCGAAUCAGCAGGUCGCGGUGAAUACGUUCCCGGGCCUUGCACACACCGCCCGU
Molecule: ribosomal RNA, 502 nt
Filed under: uncultured bacterium
Lineage: Bacteria
Description: partial 16S ribosomal RNA
Rfam family: Bacterial small subunit ribosomal RNA
Source: RNAcentral